CUUUCCCUCUUCCACAGAGGCAACAGCUGUGGCAUUCAGCACCAUGCAGUCUCCUUCCACUUGGAGGAGGCAAACUGACAGAUGGACGGAGGUGAUCAUGGGGCUGUGGGAUGCUUUAGAGCAACAACAAGGCAAGUUUGCUUGCAGAGCGGGAUCGUGGCUUGAAGGUAUCUGAUAUCCAUGGCUGGAAGCUGGCUGAUGUCUAGUGGUGGCCCUAGCAGAAGUUGGCAGACAUUGGUGGGUGGAAGCUGGUGGAAUUUGCAUUCAGAAGCCGGUGGGUGUUUUAAGGCUGAAGCAGGCUGGUGUUUGUGGGCGGAAGCGGAUUGAAAUUCACCUUUGUAAGCCAGCUGGCAGGAGCUGGCGGAUAUUUGAGAGUUGAAGGUGGGGUGUGAAUGAACGGGCAGGGAAAGAGGAGUGAAUGUGUCCAUUGGCAUUCUUCUUGGAUAUUGGCUGGCAAAUGCUUGAGCGCAUGAAUGGGAAGUUUUGAAUGUGGUGGAGGCAAAUGGUAGGUGCAUGUGCAUGGAUGAGAGGUGUGAAAGGAAACUGAUUAUGAAUAGACAAAACCCGUGGAAGUUGGAAGGAUGAAGUUAGUGAAGUCACCAGGCAGAAGUCAGUGGUGGUGCUUGGAUGAUGCUGUUGGAUGGUAGCUAUCGCCCUCACUAUCUGUUUUUUUUUUUGCUUUUUGAUUCCAGGAAUAUCUGAAGGUAAUGAAGUUUUCCCAAGACCAUGCAUGAAAGCAACCAUAGGGCUAUCUGAACCCCCACCCCCCACCCCUGCUGAAAGCAAUGAAGAGAAUUGCAGGGCUUAAAUACAAGCCAGCUU
Molecule: non-coding RNA, 822 nt
Organism: Podarcis lilfordi (Lilford's wall lizard)
Lineage: Eukaryota; Metazoa; Chordata; Lepidosauria; Squamata; Lacertidae
Source: the annotation of a GenBank genome assembly